RNAcentral lists this long non-coding RNA (1215 nucleotides) under Dasypus novemcinctus (nine-banded armadillo). RNAcentral describes it as "lncRNA (ENSDNOG00000051532.1)". Lineage: Eukaryota; Metazoa; Chordata; Mammalia; Cingulata; Dasypodidae. The record is from RNAcentral.
UAAGAAACAGGAAGUCAUUAUUUGCCCAAAGCAAACAAACUCACAAACUGCCGGGUUCACAUUCAGUCCAAAGUUCCCGUCCUAGGAGGUGCGCAUGUGGGCUGAGGACGCGGGGACCGAGCAACGACUGCGGGCCACACACACAGCCGGCAGGGUUUCACAGCCGCGGCUUGCAGGAAGCCUGAGGAUGAUGAGCACUGUCUGGGCUCCAGUUCUGCACGCUUUGCCAUUCAUGUAUCCUGGCUCAGCUGACAAGCCGGAGGAGAUCGAUGGAGAAGGUGUGCCCUGCCACUGGGGGAGUUUCGGGGGAGGGCGCUGGUGGGAUGGGCCCAAACCUCCUCCAUGAAAGAACACCUAGAAAUGAUCGUCCACGGAAUGAAAGCAAAGAUGUGGGUGUGGGUAGCAGCCGACUCAAGACUUCCUGUGAGGCUUCUGAGCCCCAGGACCCCCUUAUGGGAUUGACACUAAGGUGCUUUUAUCAGGGUAGGUGAGAGUCUAGGGACAGACUUGAAAUAUCGUUUCCUCGCGUCACUCCCUCCCCUCCUCCCCCAGCUCCAAGUCACUCACAUGAUCUGUGUAUUAACCUCGUGUCUUUUUCUAGAAAGGUUUUACGAAGUGUUGGUGUGCUAUAUUAUUAACAGGGUUGUGCUGCAUAUUUAAGUUUAGACAAUUAUACAGUAUUCCUGGAGGUGGUGAAGGGGCGGAGAAAGGAGAGAGGAAGAGAAAGAUUUCUUCACUUACCUUCCACCAAGUCAACUAGACCUUGUCCCUGGGGAAAGGGAUGGUGUAGCAGAACACAUAGAAAAAGAGUAAGGUAAUUGCAAAUUUUAAAAUCCCGGUUAUUUCAGGAAAUUUCAAGGAUGAUUCUGCAUUUCCCAUGCCCUGCCUGAAACAUUGCAGAUGCCUUCUGACUGGUCUUCCAGCCUAGACUUAGCCCUCUAGUCUUCUUUCUACUCUGCUGCGAGAGUGAGGUUUCAAACACAGAGACAUGGACAGACAACUCCUCAGACCAGCAUUUCACGACGUCCCGUUGCUGGCCUGCUGCAGACCACACCCAACACCUAUUGAGCACUUACUCCAUGCCAGGUACUGCUUUAGGCGCAUGUAUUAUCUAAGUAGUCCUCACAGCACAUAGUUACUAUUAGGUUUUCCCAUUUAAGAUGCGAAGAAACAAGCUCAGGACGUUAAGUAACUUGUUCAAGCUCACCAGCUCAU